Molecule: long non-coding RNA, 1258 nt
Organism: Cyprinus carpio (common carp)
Lineage: Eukaryota; Metazoa; Chordata; Actinopteri; Cypriniformes; Cyprinidae
Source: Ensembl
GUUUCCUGAAAUAUUAUGUUUGCAUACACAUUAUCUAAUUAAACAUGCACUAAUUUGCAUACAACUCCAGAACGUAAAUGUGAACAUUGAAUAAAUCCAGGCAAAAUUAGCCUUUUAUCACUUCAUAAAUCAGAAUAUAUUGUCAAAAGCCAGAAAAAAGCACUGAUUAUCGGAAUAAGAUGUUGUAUAGACCAAGUGAGUGAUAUAAUAUAAACAGUCCCCUCUCUUUCAGAAUAUAUGAAUAAAAGUUUGGUGCAUGUUGUGCUGCUAAAGAUGAGAAGAAGAAAAAACAACAGCCUUUAAAGAUAUGCGUUAACUGAAACACAGACACAAACAGAUGAAGUGAAAUACAAAUAACCACUUAAAUGUGUAUUUCUGAUUUCUUUCCACCAGUCUGAAAAAAGACAUCAUGGAAGCAAACUAGAUCCAAAUCUCAGAAUUGACCAGUGCAUGAAAAUAAUACAGUUUAGUUCAAAGUGCAUUACACAUUAAAUAUUUGAUCAGUUCUGUCAGAGUUGUAUCCAACCUUUUCUCCAAACAUCAAGGCCAUCAGAUUUUUAUUCCAUGUCACCCGUGGUUUAACUCAUGACACGCAACACUUUAAGUAGUCAAACAUGUGCCUGUUGAAGAAACCAUAAGGAUGGGAAGAAGUGUUAUUGCCUGAGGACAGAGGCGAGUUUGGACAUGAAGUGCUCAAAGACAAACUCAACAAACAAGCACAAUCAGCUUUAUUAUGAGCAGUGUUGGUCAGAGGAGGUGCAGCAUAUCCCGCUUUAUAAAACAGAUUUAUUGACAACCGUUCAGGAAGUUUUCGGAGGGACAGCAUGAUGAACUAUUUCCUGCCAGAUAUAAUGGAUACGAGACACACAUCUUGAGUCUGUUGUUUAAUAUGUCUGGAAUCUGCUGUGUUUGCCGUCGUUGAAGCUGAAUGUGUUCCCUGGAGCAGCUUUAUGAUGGAGGAAUGCAGGCCUUUGAGAAACGACAGCUCUUCAUAACACAACCAGUCCAGCACCACUAACAUCACAAACUAGCAAUAGCCUAUCACUUUCUACACAACAUUACAUAGCUACAUAACAAAAAACAUUCAGUACCAUAGAUUUAGCAUUCAAUAUCAUCACAGUGCAUAUUUAUAAGUGACACCAACGUGUUGGUGGUGUUAUCUGACACUGAGAAUAAUAAUACAACCUGCAAUACACGCACCGUCCAGCAGAUGGCGGCGGUGAAACGCUGAAUAAACGGUUGCUGUGCGACGAGGACA